RNAcentral lists this long non-coding RNA (1334 nucleotides) under Junco hyemalis (dark-eyed junco). RNAcentral describes it as "lncRNA (ENSJHYG00000013466.1)". Lineage: Eukaryota; Metazoa; Chordata; Aves; Passeriformes; Passerellidae. The record is from RNAcentral.
AAAAACACCAAACCUGUGGGAAACGGUGGGAUCCUAAGAAAAUAACUGCAGGAAAAUAAAACUGUGUAAAUCUGGGGAAAAAUCACUGUAAAUGCCAGGAAAAAUCACUGUAAUUCCCAGGGAAAAAAAAAUCCAGAAUAUUCACUGUAAUUCCCAAAAAACUGCCAGAAAAUCAAUGUAAAUCUGGGGAAAAAUAACUGUAAAUCAUCGGAAUAAUAACUGCAAAUCCCAGGAUAAAACUCCAGAAAAAUCACUUUAAUUCCCAGAAAAAUCACUGUAAAUCCCAGAAAAAAACCUCCGGAAAAAUAAUUUUAAUUUCUGGGGAAAAAAAAACAAAACAAAAAGACCCUCCAAACCCCUCAAAAAUUAACAACAACAACAAAACCAACAACAAAAACAACCAGGAAAAUUCAUUUUAUUUCCAGGAAAAAACCUCCAGAAAAAUCACUUUAAAUCCCUGGAAAAAGCUCCAGGAAAAACACUCUAAUUCCCAGAAAAAAAAAAAAAAACCAAAAAUAACCCCAAAAAACCCUGGAAAAUUCAUUUUAAUCCCAGGAAAAAAACUCCAGAAAAAAAAAUCACUUUAAUUCUCGGAAGAAAAAAAAAUAGGGAAAAUCGGAAAAAAUCGCUUUAAUUCCCAAAAUUCUCAGGAAAAUUUCCUUUAAUUCAUGAAGCCCCAUGCUCGCUUUUGCUGCUUCCCAAAAAUAAUCCGGGAAAGAUUUUCCUUCCUAAAACCUGGAAAAGUGGGAAAAGCAGGACAGGAGGGAAAGUGGGAAAAGAGGAGCAGGAAAAGGAGGAAAAGGAGGAAAAGGAGGAAAAAGAGGAAAAGCUGGAAAGGGAAGAGAAGGAAAAAGAGGAAGAGGAAGAGGAGGAGGAAAACGAGGAAAAAGAGGAGCAGGAGAAGCGGGAGGAGGCAGAGCAGGAAAAGCGGGAAGAGCAGGAAGGGGAAAGGCAGGAAAGGAGGAGGAGGAGGAGGAGGAAGGGGAGGAGGGAAGGCGAUGAUUCCCAAAUCCCGGCAUCCCUCGCUCCGCUCCGCUGGCAGCGGCUCCGGGCCGGGCCCGGCGCUCCGGGCGCGUUCGGGGAUCGCGGGCCCAGCGCCGGUACCGGGAGAGCCCCGGCGGAUCCCGGCGGGAUCGGCGCCCCCCGGCCCGCGGCCCAUGCGGACACCGAGCGGCGGCCGCGGCCUGCCCAGGAUCUCCCCCGGAUCCCCCCGGCCCCGCGGGGAUGGAGGAGCUGGGCCGGGCCUUCGACUUCGAGGACAGCGAGGAGGAGGAGGAGGAGGAGGAGGAAGGGGAGGACGAGGACUCGGAUUCGGGAGCCGAUCCCGGAGUUGA